CCAGGGGAACCCCUGACAACAGAUACAUUGGCAACACAAACAUAUAACCUAAUUGUAUAAGGAGACAAGUUGGAAGAUUUUGCUGCAAUGGUAUUAGGUCAUCCAAAGAAACCGGUGUUUGCAAUCAUUUUAGGAAAAUCUGCUUAGAGGUUAUUUACUCGCUAUUUCAAAUACAUUCAUAGAGCGUGAUAUGCAGAAGAUAUAAUAAAUGGAAGAGAAGAGGCCACAAAGUGACUGUAACAUCCAAUGAGAAUGAUUCGUAGAAAUGAUAGCAGCAUUUAAUAACAUAGAUGUAGAAAUAAACUGACAAUCGCGUUUAUUGCAAUCACUAUCUUCAGGCAUCUCUUGCUGAAAACCUCACUCUCCUGGCCUUAUCCUGACCGAAUGAAUGCAAUAUGUGCAAGCAGGGGGUUAUGUUCUGAUUAAAAUGAGUUUACAUAUUUAUUGUAUGAAAGCCUAGGUUUACACUGAAAUUUUUAUUCAGCAUGUCGGACUGCAUUCCGUUAGAAAAGAUUCAAAUAAUUCUUAUUUAACAGGAACAAGGUUCCUUUUACAUAGUUACCCUUUAGAGAAAUUUCCAUAUUAUGGAAUAAUUCAUUUCUCUAGAUCGGAAGAAAAAAAAGUUUGUAUUUAAUUGGAAUGUUUUAAAAAAAAAUAUUCUGUGUCAAUAUAUGGAUGUUAAAAAAUUCACAGAAAAUCAUAGAUAGAGGAAAGGUACCAAAUACCAUGCAGGAAAAAUAUAUAUCACUGAAGCAAAAGUAUUAAACUAUACCUUUUAAUAAAUACUAUUAAAUGAAGUACCCCCUUGUAUACUUAGAAAAAUGACCAAAAUCCUUAUGCUGCGUCCACCAUACCUUAAUGGACUAGCUAAAAGACCAAAAACAAAUACCAAAUUGCACCAAAUUUUUGGCACAGGCAGUUUUAUUUAUGUCCCCCAUUAUGUUUUGAAUGCUCUAACAGAGAAACAUAUCAACCAUGGGAGAACCCCAAUAAGUCAAUGUUUCAAUACCAGUGAAAACUGUUGAGUGUGAGCUACUUUUUCCGAUGCUCCAAUACAACUAGGAGACAGUGAAUGCUGAUCCUGCUCUUUAGCUAAGAAAGGGCCUUUAGGCUUUCUUAUUCUUGGCACCAGUAGGUGUUUCAGACAGUGGACCUAUAAGUAUCUGAAUGGCAAGCUAUCAAAGUAAAAAGGAGGUUGUCAGGAAACAGCACCAUUAAAACAUCACUUGCAGGGUUAAGCAGGGUUGAGUUUGUUGACUGACAUGAUGUGCUAUCUGUGUUUACUGUUGGACUGCAGGUAAACCUAACAUGAUAGAGCACAUGUAUCAAAGAAAAUUUUCUUAAAAAGUGUAAAAAUAAUAACAUUUGUGGAUUCUUUUGAUAUAAUGCAAUUAUAUUUUGUAA
This is a long non-coding RNA of Hyla sarda, 1404 nucleotides long. RefSeq lists it as uncharacterized. NCBI's taxonomy places the organism in Eukaryota, Metazoa, Chordata, Amphibia, Anura, Hylidae. The record is from RefSeq and is a predicted model, not a curated record. The transcript is spliced from 3 exons.